UAUAUGUAAUCUGUGUUUUAGGAAGCUGAAUAUGGUGGACAUGAUCAGAUUGAUUUGUAUGAUGAUGUCAUUUCUCCAUCUGCAAAUAAUGGAGAUGCCCCAGAGGACCGUGAUUAUAUGGACUCUCUCCCACCAUCUGUGGGAGAUGAUGUAGGUAAAGGAGCAGCACCAAAUGUGGUCUAUACCUAUACUGGAAAGAGAAUUGCAUUAUACAUUGGGAAUCUUACCUGGUGGACAACAGAUGAAGACUUAACUGAAGCAGUCCAUUCUCUGGGAGUUAAUGAUAUUUUGGAGAUAAAAUUUUUUGAAAACCGUGCUAAUGGCCAGUCAAAAGGGUUUGCUCUUGUAGGUGUUGGGUCUGAAGCAUCCUCAAAAAAGUUGAUGGAUCUGUUGCCUAAAAGAGAAUUGCAUGGGCAGAAUCCUGUUGUAACUCCAUGUAAUAAACAGUUCCUGAGUCAAUUUGAAAUGCAGUCAAGGAAAACUACACAGUCAGGUCAGAUGUCUGGAGAAGGUAAAGCUGGUCCUCCAGGAGGUAGUUCACGUGCAGCAUUUCCACCAACUAACAGAGGGCGAGGCCGUUUUCCAGGUGCCAUUCCAGGUGCGGACAGAUUUCCUGGACCUGCAGGGCCAGGAGGACCACCGCCUCCUUUUCCAGCUGGACAGAAUCCACCACGUCCACCCCUAGGUCCUCCUGGUCCACCAGGCCCUCCAGGUCCCCCUCCUCCUGGUCAGGUUCUUCCUCCUCCAUUAGCUGGGCCUCCUAAUCGCGGUGACCGUCCUCCUCCUCCAGUUCUGUUUCCUGGACAACCCUUUGGUCAACCUCCACUGGGGCCACUUCCUCCUGGACCUCCACCUCCAGUUCCAGGCUAUGGCCCACCUCCAGGUCCACCGCCACCACAGCAGGGUCCACCUCCUCCACCAGGCCCUUUUCCCCCUCGACCCCCUGGUCCUCUCGGGCCACCCCUGACACUUGCUCCUCCUCCACAUCUUACUGGGCCACCUCCAAGUGGUCCCCCACCUGCACCACAUGUGAAUCCAGCUUUCUUCCCCCCACCUGCCAAUAGUGGUAUACCUACUUCAGACAGCCGUGGUCCACCACCAACAGAUCCAUAUGGUCGACCUCCACCAUAUGACAGAGGUGACUAUGGGCCACCUGGAAGGCGUUUCACUGGAAAUAACAUGUCCAUAAGAGAAAAAUUACAUAUUCCAUUCUAUGGGAGGCACACGAAAAAUAAUACUCAAAACUCAGGGAGAGAAAUGGAUGCUGCAAGAACACCCUUAAGUGAAGCAGAGUUUGAAGAAAUCAUGAAUAGAAAUAGGGCUAUCUCAAGCAGUGCCAUUUCAAGAGCUGUGUCAGAUGCCAGUGCUGGGGACUAUGGAAGUGCUAUAGAAACCUUAGUAACUGCAAUUUCCUUAAUUAAACAAUCCAAAGUAUCCGCUGAUGAUCGUUGUAAAGUACUUAUUAGCUCUCUUCAGGAUUGCCUUCAUGGGAUUGAGUCCAAGUCUUAUGGAUCUGGAUCAAGAAGACGUGAACGAUCAAGGGAGAGGGACCACAGUAGGUCGAGAGAAAAAAGCAGACGUCACAAGUCCCGUAGCAGAGAUCGUCACGAUGACUAUUACCGGGAAAGAAGCCGUGAGCGAGAGAGACAUCGUGAUCGUGACAGAGAUCGCGACAGAGAACGUGACAGAGAACGGGAGUAUCGUCAUCGUUAAAGAAGCAGUAUGUACUGAAUCCUUUCUUCUUGUAGCAUCUGAGGCAAACUUCGCUGAAGGAAGAGGAACACCUUGCAAGACAAGAAACAUUCUUCAAGGAAAGAUGCUUGUCCAGCAGUUUGCUUCUUGUGAUUGAACUGAGCCUGUAAGGAUUCAUGGAUAAAAUGAACAGGAAUAGAUCUGAAUAAAGCAAAUCUGCAUACAUGGUAACCAGUAGCUCUUUUACUUUUUUAUGUUGCUUAAUUGUUUUAUUUGAGGGAAACCUGUGUGAUUUAAAACUUAUAGCUUUUGCAACUUUAUUACUGGUUAUAUACAUUUGGCAAUUAUAAUGUGCAAGCAAUUGGAAAAAAAGUCAAGUAAAUGCUUGUUUUUAUAGUAGUUUGUUCUUGUUAAAAAUGUUCAUAUGAUAAUGUCUGUACACGGCACCACUUUGAUUACAAUAGAUGUAGUGUUGUAAUAAACUGUUUAAUGGGG
This is an RNA transcript of Alligator sinensis (Chinese alligator), 2187 nucleotides long. It is a transcript of the gene named cleavage and polyadenylation specific factor 6, with no coding region annotated. NCBI's taxonomy places the organism in Eukaryota, Metazoa, Chordata, Crocodylia, Alligatoridae. The transcript has 11 exons. The record is from RefSeq and is a predicted model, not a curated record.